This 519-nucleotide ribosomal RNA is filed under the name Escherichia coli. RNAcentral describes it as "partial 23S ribosomal RNA". It matches the Rfam family "Bacterial large subunit ribosomal RNA", at positions 2280 to 2798 of the family's 2925-position model. The record is from RNAcentral. Lineage: Bacteria; Pseudomonadati; Pseudomonadota; Gammaproteobacteria; Enterobacterales; Enterobacteriaceae. RNAcentral also lists the same sequence under 1 other name.
CGGUCUCCUCCUAAAGAGUAACGGAGGAGCACGAAGGUUGGCUAAUCCUGGUCGGACAUCAGGAGGUUAGUGCAAUGGCAUAAGCCAGCUUGACUGCGAGCGUGACGGCGCGAGCAGGUGCGAAAGCAGGUCAUAGUGAUCCGGUGGUUCUGAAUGGAAGGGCCAUCGCUCAACGGAUAAAAGGUACUCCGGGGAUAACAGGCUGAUACCGCCCAAGAGUUCAUAUCGACGGCGGUGUUUGGCACCUCGAUGUCGGCUCAUCACAUCCUGGGGCUGAAGUAGGUCCCAAGGGUAUGGCUGUUCGCCAUUUAAAGUGGUACGCGAGCUGGGUUUAGAACGUCGUGAGACAGUUCGGUCCCUAUCUGCCGUGGGCGCUGGAGAACUGAGGGGGGCUGCUCCUAGUACGAGAGGACCGGAGUGGACGCAUCACUGGUGUUCGGGUUGUCAUGCCAAUGGCACUGCCCGGUAGCUAAAUGCGGAAGAGAUAAGUGCUGAAAGCAUCUAAGCACGAAACUUGCC